CCUACGGGAGGCUGCAGUGGGGAAUAUUGCGCAAUGGGCGAAAGCCUGACACAGCGACGCCGCGUGAGGGAUGAAGGUCUUCGGAUCGUAAACCUCUGUCAGCAGGGAAGAACGGUCACUGUGCUAAUCAGCAGUGAAUUGACGGUACCUGCAAAGGAAGCACCGGCUAACUCCGUGCCAGCAGCCGCGGUAAUACGGAGGGUGCGAGCGUUAAUCGGAAUUACUGGGCGUAAAGCGCUCGUAGGCGGUAUGUCAAGUCAAGGGUGAAAUCCCCGGGCUCAACGUGGGAACUACCUUUGAAACUGGCAGACUGGAGUGUGGGAGAGGAUAGUAGAAUUCCAGGUGUAGGAGUGAAAUCCGUAGAUAUCUGGAGGAACAUCAGUGGCGAAGGCGACUAGCUGGAACAUAACUGACGCUGAGGAGCGAAAGCGUGGGUAGCAAACAGGAUUAGAUACCCCAGUAGUC
This 465-nucleotide ribosomal RNA is filed under the name uncultured bacterium. Its description in RNAcentral is "partial 16S ribosomal RNA". It matches the Rfam family "Bacterial small subunit ribosomal RNA", at positions 338 to 795 of the family's 1533-position model. The record is from RNAcentral.